Molecule: long non-coding RNA, 222 nt
Filed under: Elaeis guineensis (African oil palm)
Lineage: Eukaryota; Viridiplantae; Streptophyta; Magnoliopsida; Arecales; Arecaceae
Description: long non-coding RNA (EGUI_LNC011395)
Source: RNAcentral
GGUUCAAAGUAUUAUAUGCUGUGAAACAAGAUGAAAUAAAUAGUGCAAGCGAUGAUACAUUUGAAGGUAGAGGUAGUCUUGUAGAAUGUUGAUCAUAACGGUUGUGCAGCGGCAAGGAGAGAUAUGAAUAAUAGAGUUAUGUGAAGCUGCAUGCACCAGUAGAGCUCAAAAUGACCAGUAGAGUGGCAUUGCAGGAGGUAAUAGAACAACCAUGAACUGAGC